This 491-nucleotide ribosomal RNA is filed under the name uncultured bacterium. RNAcentral's name for it is "partial 16S ribosomal RNA". It matches the Rfam family "Bacterial small subunit ribosomal RNA", at positions 28 to 507 of the family's 1533-position model. The record is from RNAcentral.
GAUGAACGCUAGCGAUAGGCUUAACACAUGCAAGUCGAGGGGUAACGUGUUGGAAGCUUGCUUCCGAUGACGACGACCGGCGGAUGGGUGCGUAACGCGUAUGCAACUUGCCUCACAGUGGAGAAUAACCCGGAGAAAUCCGGACUAAUACUCCAUACACUCUUAAGUACGCCUGUACAUGAGAGGAAAGAUUUAUCGCUGUGAGAUAGGCAUGCGUCCUAUUAGGUAGUUGGUGAGGUAACGGCUCACCAAGCCGACGAUAGGUAGGGGUGCUGAGAGGCAGAUCCCCCACAUUGGGACUGAGACACGGCCCAAACUCCUACGGGAGGCAGCAGUGAGGAAUAUUGGUCAAUGGAGGAAACUCUGACCCAGCCAAGUCGCGUGAAGGAAGAAUGUCCUAAGGAUUGUAAACUUCUUUAGCGAGCGAGUAAGGACUUCCACGUGAUGGGAGUUUGAAAGUAGCUCGAGAAUAAGUAUCGGCUAACUCCGUG